RNAcentral lists this ribosomal RNA (429 nucleotides) under bacterium. RNAcentral's name for it is "partial 16S ribosomal RNA". It matches the Rfam family "Bacterial small subunit ribosomal RNA", at positions 355 to 776 of the family's 1533-position model. The record is from RNAcentral.
GAGGGAAUCUUCCACAAUGGACGCAAGUCUGAUGGAGCAACGCCGCGUGAGUGAAGAAGGUCUUCGGAUCGUAAAGCUCUGUUGUUGGUGAAGAAGGAUAGAGGCAGUAACUGGUCUUUAUUUGACGGUAAUCAACCAGAAAGUCACGGCUAACUACGUGCCAGCAGCCGCGGUAAUACGUAGGUGGCAAGCGUUGUCCGGAAUUAUUGGGCGUAAAGCGAGCGCAGGCGGAAUGAUAAGUCUGAUGUGAAAGCCCACGGCUCAACCGUGGAACUGCAUCGGAAACUGUCAUUCUUGAGUGCAGUAGAGGAGAGUGGAAUUCCAUGUGUAGCGGUGGAAUGCGUAGAUAUAUGGAGGAGCACCAGUGGCGAAGGCGGCUCUCUGGUCUGCAACUGACGCUGAGGCUCGAAAGCAUGGGUAGCGAACAGG